Molecule: ribosomal RNA, 497 nt
Filed under: uncultured bacterium
Lineage: Bacteria
Description: partial 16S ribosomal RNA
Rfam family: Bacterial small subunit ribosomal RNA
Source: RNAcentral
GAUGAACGCUGGCGGCGUGCCUAAUACAUGCAAGUCGAGCGAACAGAUGAGGAGCUUGCUCCUCUGACGUUAGCGGCGGACGGGUGAGUAACACGUGGAUAACCUACCUAUAAGACUGGGAUAACUUCGGGAAACCGGAGCUAAUACCGGAUAAUAUAUUGAACCGCAUGGUUCAAUAGUGAAAGACGGUUUUGCUGUCACUUAUAGAUGGAUCCGCGCCGCAUUAGCUAGUUGGUAAGGUAACGGCUUACCAAGGCAACGAUGCGUAGCCGACCUGAGAGGGUGAUCGGCCACACUGGAACUGAGACACGGUCCAGACUCCUACGGGAGGCAGCAGUAGGGAAUCUUCCGCAAUGGGCGAAAGCCUGACGGAGCAACGCCGCGUGAGUGAUGAAGGUCUUCGGAUCGUAAAACUCUGUUAUUAGGGAAGAACAAAUGUGUAAGUAACUAUGCACGUCUUGACGGUACCUAAUCAGAAAGCCACGGCUAACUCCGUG